CCUACGGGGGGCUGCAGUGGGGAAUAUUGGGCAAUGGGCGCAAGCCUGACCCAGCCAUGCCGCGUGAGUGAUGAAGGCCUUCGGGUCGUAAAGCUCUGUGGGGAGGGACGAACAGCCCGGCGGUUAAUACCCGCAGGGUCUGACGGUACCUCCUUAGCAAGCACCGGCUAACUCCGUGCCAGCAGCCGCGGUAAUACGGGGGGUGCAAACGUUGCUCGGGAUUAUUGGGCGUAAAGCGCACGUAGGCGGUGAAAGCCCCAGGCUUAACCUGGGAAGUGCACUCGAAACUGCAGGGCUUGAGUACGGAAGAGGGUCUCGGAAUUCCCGGUGUAGAGGUGAAAUUCGUAGAUAUCGGGAGGAACACCAGUGGCGAAGGCGGAGACCUGGGCCGAUACUGACGCUGAGGUGCGAAAGCGUGGGGAGCAAACAGGAUUAGAUACCCGAGUAGUC
RNAcentral lists this ribosomal RNA (450 nucleotides) under uncultured bacterium. RNAcentral's name for it is "partial 16S ribosomal RNA". It matches the Rfam family "Bacterial small subunit ribosomal RNA", at positions 338 to 795 of the family's 1533-position model. The record is from RNAcentral.